UGGGGAAUUGUUCGCAAUGGGCGCAAGCCUGACGACGCAACGCCGCGUGGGGGAUGAAGGUCUUCGGAUUGUAAACCCCUGUUGGGUGGGACGAACACUUUCGUGGUGAAUAUCCACGAGGGCUGACGGUACCACCUGAGGAAGCACCGGCUAACUACGUGCCAGCAGCCGCGGUAAUACGUAGGGUGCAAGCGUUAAUCGGAAUUACUGGGCGUAAAGCGUGCGCAGGCGGUUGUGCAAGACCGAUGUGAAAUCCCCGGGCUUAACCUGGGAACUGCAUUGGUGACUGCACGGCUAGAGUGUGUCAGAGGGGGGUAGAAUUCCACGUGUAGCAGUGAAAUGCGUAGAGAUGUGGAGGAAUACCGAUGGCGAAGGCAGCCCCCUGGGAUAACACUGACGCUCAUGCACGAAAGCGUGGGGAGCAAA
Molecule: ribosomal RNA, 426 nt
Filed under: uncultured bacterium
Lineage: Bacteria
Description: bacterial SSU rRNA
Rfam family: Bacterial small subunit ribosomal RNA
Source: RNAcentral